This 492-nucleotide ribosomal RNA is filed under the name uncultured bacterium. RNAcentral describes it as "partial 16S ribosomal RNA". It matches the Rfam family "Bacterial small subunit ribosomal RNA", at positions 29 to 507 of the family's 1533-position model. The record is from RNAcentral.
AGUGAACGCUGGCGGUAGGCCUAACACAUGCAAGUCGAACGGCAGCACAGUAAGCGCUUGCUCUUACGGGUGGCGAGUGGCGGACGGGUGAGGAAUACAUCGGCAUCUACUUUUUCGUGGGGGAUAACGUAGGGCCACUUACGCUACUACCGCAUACGACCUACGGGUGAAAGCAGGGGAUCUUCGGACCUUGCGCGAUUGAAUGAGCCGAUGUCGGAUUAGCUAGUUGGCGGGGUAAAGGCCCACCAAGGCGACGAUCCGUAGCUGGUCUGAGAGGAUGAUCAGCCACACUGGAACUGAGACACGGUCCAGACUCCUACGGGAGGCAGCAGUGGGGAAUAUUGGACAAAGGGCGCAAGCCUGAUCCAGCCAUACCGCGUGGGUGAAGAAGGCCUUCGGGUUGUAAAGCCCUUUUGUUGGGAAAGAAAAUCAGCAGGUUAAUACCCCGCUGUUCUGACGGUACCCAAAGAAUAAGCACCGGCUAACUUCGUG